Mus musculus (house mouse) is the source of this 979-nucleotide long non-coding RNA. RefSeq annotates it as predicted gene, 46920. NCBI's taxonomy places the organism in Eukaryota, Metazoa, Chordata, Mammalia, Rodentia, Muridae. The transcript is spliced from 2 exons. The record is from RefSeq and is a predicted model, not a curated record.
CGUAUUAAAUAGUCAAUGCAGUCCGAAGAAAGAGACACCGUAAUCUCAUUUUUGAAAACUCUAAACGGCAUUGAAGAUUGAGUAGACACAGAAGCAGAUGAGACUAUAAUGUCACCAAAAUCUUGGCAUCCGGAUUGGCCUCUUCAGGAGCUACAUAUUCACCUUCUGGAGGUUGGAACUUUAUCUCAGAUGAAGAGGUGCAAGAUGGGUCGAGUGUGUAGGACCAGAAGGCAAAUAGGAGAAUUAAAGCCAUCUGUGGCUAACGUAGCCAUGAAAUUAUGGCGAGUGAUUUGUUGCAGCAAUGGAAAAUACAGAUUAACAUUCCUUUCAUCUCAGAAACAAUCCAGAAAAUAAACACUUCUGAGAAUAAUACUAGAAGGUAUUUUCAAGUACAGCCAUAAUGUCAUAUAUAAGCAGGAUACAACAGCUGUUGGACUUUCAAAGACACGAACUGCCGUAACUUUAAAAUGGUUAGAUGACAAACAUGCGUGGGUGGAACAUUGGCCUUUGACAUCAGAACACUUAGAGGCACUAGGACAGCUGCUGCAGAAGCAGCAAAACGUCCAACAUAGUGGACAACCAAUCAGUCUUUGGCGUUCUCCUAUAUUUGUCAUUAAGAAGAAACCUGGAAAAUGGGGACUAUUAACAGAUUUUAGAGCCAUAAAUAAGGUGAUUGAGCCAAUGGGGCUCUUUAUAGCCUGGAAUUCCCUUGCCUUCAUCAUUACCUAAGGGAUGAUCUAUUAUAGUGAUUGAUUUACAAGACUACUUCUUCACUGCACCUUUACAAAAACAGGAUAAGGAAAAAUUGCCUUCCUGGCAAUACUUAUAGUAGUGCUCAACUUGUGUCAACCUGUGUCAACGGUGUCACUGGAAAGUUCUUCCAAACAGUCUGGCACUGUGUUAACAUUUCCUACAGCUGUUAUAAACAGUUUGCUCAUUCUAAAAUGUAUCAUUAUAUGGAUGAUAUCUUACUGGCUAA